RNA transcript from Chenopodium quinoa (quinoa), 4448 nucleotides. It is a transcript of the gene named probable fructokinase-7, with no coding region annotated. The record is from RefSeq and is a predicted model, not a curated record. The transcript has 4 exons. Lineage: Eukaryota; Viridiplantae; Streptophyta; Magnoliopsida; Caryophyllales; Amaranthaceae.
GUUGAGAAUAAUAAUCAAACACAUCAAAGAAAAUCAUCAUAUUAUCACUUUAUCACUCUCUUCUUUUGUCUCCCAAUAUUAUCAAGCAUAAAUCCAUCUCUAAACCAAAAACCCACUACUACUUCGGCACAUAAAAUUCCAACAAGAGGGCUUAUAGCAACACUUCCCAUUCUAUUUUGCUCAUACGCAAAUUGAUUUUGAGAUAAAUGUUAUAUUUACUCUAUUGUUUUGGAAUGGGUUUGGUUCAAGCAUAUGGUUAAACAGUUUUUAGGCUAUGUUAUCCUUGUUAUGUAUUUGUUUAAUAAUAAUAAUAAUUGUACUCAGUUUUGUUGUUAGGAAAUUCCCAGGUGAUUCUCUUUGAGUUUAUUAGUAUGAAGUAUGGUGAUCUUUCGAAAGUAGCUAAUUGGGUACUCUGUGUGAUUAUAAGAUUGUUGAUCCUAUUAAAAACUUCGUGAAUCAUCCAGUAUUUUGUUCUCCUUAUUGUUGAAUAUGGAAGGGAAUAAUUGCUUUAAAUGAAAGCUGCUUAUAUUUCUCUUUCUAUAACUUACUAAGGGUUAAUUUAGUUAAUUAUUCUGAAGAGUUUUUACCAUUUUCAUUUCUGUGCGAUAGCCUGGUCUCUGUAGGUUAUGUUCUUGAAAUUUUUAAUAGUGUGAGAGGGAGCAUCAUACUAAGGUUUGGAUCUUUCAUCUGGAUUUGUGGUCUUGUAAGUAGGUAUUCUGAAGGCUUAUAUUAAGAACUUGAGCAAGUGUUCCAUGCGUAGGAAUAGGGAAAAGAUUACUCAUGAGUCAUGACAUUAGAUUUUAAUUGUUGGCAGCUAUUGCUAUAUGAAGAGAGAGCUGUUUGACAGUACCGAUGAAGUCGAUUUGCUUUAAUUUCUUCGGUGGAAAUGUGUAAUGCUCCUCAAUUUGUAAGUUUUGUUCAUAUUUCAAUAGAGAAAAUUAUAUUUUGAUGGAUGGUUCACCUGUCAAAUAGGAAUGGGAUUCCUUAGUUCUUAACUAUGUUUCUUAAUUUUUUUUCACCAUUAUUUUCCAAAACUCUCCCUUUCUCUUCCUCGAUCUCUAUGUCUCUCUUCUAUUUGCUCUUCCUUUUUAUGUUUCAUAACUUGUAUUUAAGAAUGAAAUAACACGGUUUUGGAAAAUCUAUGUCAUCCUACCUAGGAAUGGGAUUACUUUUUUCUUAAUGUGGCUUGUAAGAGUUAUAUCUUUGCAUAUCUUAUAUGUUGACAUGUUGUACAUAGUAAUUAUUAUUAGUUUGCUGUCCUUGCUCCAAUAAGUUUAGCUUUUUACAUGAAAAUUUCAUUAUUUAAUUUUACUGUAACACUUUGUUUUUAUGGGUGGAAUGUCUAGCAUUUCAUUAAAUUACUUUUGAGGAUAAGCUUCAUUUAUACAGUAUUACUUUUAAAGUGAAUACGAACACGCUCUUCUUAUCUCUAACCGAAGAGACAUUGGUUGGUUUAUUGGAUGUAUUUUAGCUCAGGAUUAUUUUGGCUUAAACAUGAGUUGUUGUGGGUUGUUAGCAUAUGAUUGCCAAUGUGACUAAAAUAGAUUACAGCCUGCUCAAAAUUGAGUGAAGCAAUUCUUCCUCUUAAUUUGCUGAUGCCUUAAAUCAAUUGCGAAUAGCAUGCACAUUAUUCAUGAAAGUUAUUUGGUUGAUUUGAUGAGGAUUUAUAUAAAAAAAAUAAGGUCUUGCGUUGGAAUUUAAGGAGGACCUCUCUAUACAAAUAUGCACGACAAAUAUCUUGAGGGAAGGGAUGGUUCAUGGGUCAACCGGGGAAAGGGUUUAUGACCUUUUCACUGGCCUUGUUUUGCUUUCUAGGAAAAUAGAAAAUUACCUUUGCAGAUUUUUAUUUUUUUAUUUUUUGUUUCAAGAAAUAUAAACCUCUGUCUAAAAUAGUUUACCUUCAAUGGUUUUAUUUUAAUAUGACAUGAGCAUGUGUAUUAUACAUUAUUUUCAUAAAAUUACUAGAGAUAUUUGCUUGUGAUUCACUAUGUUGAUAUUUGCUUUAUGAGGGUUGUUCUUGUGAUUCACUAUGUUGAUAUUUGCUUUAUUUUUUUAUUUUUUAUUUUUAUUUUUAUUUUAUUUUAUUUUUAUUAAUUUUUUUGUGAUUAUGAUUAAUUAAUUGAUAGGACCUGAGAUAGGAUGAUUGCACAUAAAUAUUGCAUACAUUUUCUUUGUUACUGUUUUCUUUAUUACUAUGGAAUGUUAUGAAAAUUGUUUGUUUUGGGAUAGUUGGAUAUCAAAAAUUACAUUAUAUUGAUUCAUGUGAAUUGGAAGGCUAUUAGCUUAAUUGGUAGAGCAAUGUGCUAUCCUGUACAGUAUGUGGGUUCGACUCCCACAUAGCUUGAUAUAUUUAUGUCGAUUGAUGAAUUUUGCUCAUGGCUAAUAUUUCUUUUGUUUCAAAAAAAAAUUGCUACAUUUUGACUAGCACGUUUGUCGAUACACAACUUUAAUUGUAAUUUUUAUAAUUAUAUAUUAGUAAAAAAUUUAAAAUGUUGAUAGUAUGAAAAUAUACAAUAAAAUUUCAACAAUAUUUUACUUGAUAACAUAAGCUUUCAAUAAAUUAGUAAAAAUAUGUAACAUUACAAGGAGGAGCAAGGAGAAGGAGAAAGAAAUUGAGUCCGAGAAAAAGGAAGAGAGAGUUUGGGGAAAUAAAUGGAGGGGGAUACUUUUUAGACUGUAAUUGAUUAAGGAGAUGAUAAUACUUUUUUAAAACUAUCUAUCUUUAAUGCUCAAAAUCAUAAAAGACGAGUUAGUGAAAGAAAAAACUAAAGGGAAAGAGAAACAGAGUGAGCAAGAAGGGGGAAGGACAACUCAAUCAUUAGAUUGGGACAAGCUUGCUUCUUUCAUUAACUGUAAUUACUUAAUCAACGUGGUUAUGUGACAAUUAUGAGAAUGUAAGGCCGAUUAGGAUCUCCUUAAGAAUAAAAAUUUCAACCUUAUAGUAGUGUCAUGAUAGAUAUAAGUGAGUGAUUUUUUUGAAGUGUUCAUAUAAUCAUGAGAGAGAGAGAGAGAGAGACUGAUUUGCUGAAAGCUCUUGCUAUUUUUGCUGCUUUUUUGACAGGUGCUGUAGCCAUUAAUCAUUCCUGGGUUGCUGCUAAUCAGGAUCUUGCUAUUUGGAAUAGGAUAUGCCGGGAUGGGCAUAUAUAGGUUGAACUUGCACAUGGUGGCGAGGAUCAGGAUCAUCAUGUGCUGUGCUGGAGGGGCGCUAUGGUAUAUUUUUCAUGGUUGAUGGUUACAAUACCUAUGACAAUUAUGAGAAUUGGAGCAGCAACGAAUUCCAGCAAUUCGGAAUUGCAGGCGAUGUCCCUUGCUGACCAACCUCGUGCUCCGAUUUCCCAUACCCUGACCUUGAAGUUGCUACUCAAGAUGUUCGCAGAGUAUUAGAUUGUCCACAACCAUUAAGUUUCUCACUGCUGUGGUACUGAUACUGCAUUUGUUCUCUCAUUUGAGUUAAUUGUAUUUUGUGAAAUUAUUAUACAUUGAUUUUUAGUUAGAACUAAUUUGUGUUUGCAGAACUGGAAUCUAAAAUCAUUGAUAUUUUUUCUCUCAUUUGAGUCAAAAUAAUACUGCUUUGAUUAUGUAGAAGAGAAAAUGGAAUUAAGGUCUAAGCAAAAGGAUUUUGAUGCAAAAAAAUAGAGAAUUCUUAAAUAACAUAUUGGCCGGACAUUAAGGUAGUGUUAUAAGUUUUGAUUGAUUGAUUUAUAAGUUUAAUGAUUUCACAGUGAUAAAAAAAUUUCCUGAGUUGGUUUGAUGCUGAAACUUGAUAUUAAUGAUCAUAUUAUGAAGCAAUAUCAGCAAAAAUGAUGAUCCAGUUGUUUUGGACAAAGUUGUCAAAUCUGGAGGAAGCAAGCGACUUUGAUAAGAUGUUUGUCUAAAUUCAACACAUAAUAAGCGUUAUAGUAUUGUGUGUUUACUUAGUGCAAAGUAAUGUAGUACAAAGUAUGAAGUAGGAUUGAUUGAUUUGAGCAAUUACUGGAAAUUGGUUUAUGUGUAUAUAUGAGUAAUUAGUUAAUAAUUACCUGAACUUAAUGGUAUAUAGUUCUAUUGCUACAAAACAAAUGGAAGAUUCAUCUCCAACUUACAAUACCUGUUACACGGCAUGCAUCAAUUUGGGGAGUAGUUUGUGGAGUUGUUAAAUCUGGUAUACUUGCCUUUUAUGGUCCUUUCAUCUUUUUCUGAUUUGUUAUUUCCUCCUGUUUAUCAUAGCCAUGUUCAGCACUAAAAUUUCAUGCUCUCUACUAUUUUUUUUAGUCUAAAUUGAUUAUUGAAUCAAAUUGCUAGGAUUAAUCUUUUGAAAACCUUUUUAUUCCUGUUCACUUUUCUUUAUUUUAUUUCUAUUAAAAUUUGUCCUAUUAAUAUGAUGUUUGUAUGGAAAAUUUUAUGUGAUAGCCAUGUAUAACUGAUUAGUAUGAUUGUUUAUGAGUUGAAGUAUAUGGGUUUUUUUUUUU